Molecule: ribosomal RNA, 804 nt
Filed under: uncultured bacterium
Lineage: Bacteria
Description: bacterial SSU rRNA
Rfam family: Bacterial small subunit ribosomal RNA
Source: RNAcentral
UACGGNCCGGCUUGAGUGCGGUAGGGGAGGCCGGAACUCCUGGUGUAGCGGUGGAAUGCGCAGAUAUCAGGAAGAACACCGGUGGCGAAGGCGGGUNUCUGGGCCGUUACUGACGCUGAGGAGCGAAAGCGUGGGGAGCGAACAGGAUUAGAUACCCUGGUAGUCCACGCCGUAGACGUUGGGCACUAGGUGUGGGGGGCCUUUUCCGGGUUUUCCGCGCCGUAGCUAACGCAUUAAGUGCCCCGCCUGGGGAGUACGGCCGCAAGGCUAAAACUCAAAGGAAUUGACGGGGGCCCGCACAAGCGGCGGAGCAUGCGGAUUAAUUCGAUGCAACGCGAAGAACCUUACCAAGGCUUGACAUGUGCCGGUCGGCUCCGGAGACGGGGUUUCCUCCUUGUGGGGCCGGUUCACAGGUGGUGCAUGGUUGUCGUCAGCUCGUGUCGUGAGAUGUUGGGUUAAGUCCCGCAACGAGCGCAACCCUUGUCUCGUGUUGCCAGCACGUUGUGGUGGGGACUCGCGGGAGACUGCCGGGGUCAACUCGGAGGAAGGUGGGGAUGACGUCAAAUCAUCAUGCCCCUUAUGUCUUGGGCUUCACGCAUGCUACAAUGGCCGGUACAGAGGGCUGCGAUACCGUGAGGUGGAGCGAAUCCCUUAAAGCCGGUCUCAGUUCGGAUCGGUGUCUGCAACUCGACACCGUGAAGUUGGAGUCGCUAGUAAUCGCGGAUCAGCAACGCUGCGGUGAAUACGUUCUCGGGCCUUGUACACACCGCCCGUCACGUCAUGAAAGUCGGCAACACCCGAAGC